This 301-nucleotide ribosomal RNA is filed under the name uncultured bacterium. Its description in RNAcentral is "partial 16S ribosomal RNA". It matches the Rfam family "Bacterial small subunit ribosomal RNA", at positions 509 to 809 of the family's 1533-position model. The record is from RNAcentral.
CAGUCGCCGCGGGAAUACGUAGGUGGCGAGCGUUGUCCGGAAUCAUUGGGCGUAAAGGGAGCGCAGGCGGGCGUGUAAGUCUUUCUUAAAAGUUCGGGGCUCAACCCCGUGAUGGGAAAGAAACUACAUGUCUUGAGUACAGGAGAGGAAAGCGGAAUUCCCAGUGUAGCGGUGAAAUGCGUAGAUAUUGGGAGGAACACCAGUGGCGAAGGCGGCUUUCUGGACUGCAACUGACGCUGAGGCUCGAAAGCCAGGGGAGCGAACGGGAUUAGAUACCCGCGUAGUCCCUGUCUCUUAUACA